This 200-nucleotide ribosomal RNA is filed under the name uncultured bacterium. Its description in RNAcentral is "partial 16S ribosomal RNA". It matches the Rfam family "Bacterial small subunit ribosomal RNA", at positions 328 to 539 of the family's 1533-position model. The record is from RNAcentral.
ACGCUCGACACCUACGUGAGGCAGCAGUUGGGAAUAUUGGACAAUGGAGGAAACUCUGAUCCAGUGACGCCGCGUGAAGGAAGAAGGUCUUCGGAUUGUAAACUUAUUUUGUCAGGGAAGAAAAAAUGACUGUACCUGAAGAAAAAGCACCGGCUAACUACGUGCCAGCAGCCGCGGUAAUCUGAGCGGGCUGGCAAGGC